UUUGUUUAUUUUAAUUGGAGACUAAUUACUUUACAAUAUUGUGGUGUUUUUUGCCAUACAUUGGCAUGAAUCAGCCAUGGUAUACAUGUGUCCCCCAUCCUGAACCCUCCUCCCUCUUCGCUCCCAUCCCUCAGGGUCAUCCCAGUGCACCGGCCCUGAGCAGCCAGUCUCAUGCAUCGAACCUGGACUGGCCAUCUAUUUCACAUAUGAAUUGAUGCUUUUGAACUGUGGUGUUGGAGAAGACUCUUGAGAGUCCCUUGGACUGCAAGGAGAUCCAACCAGUCCAUUCUGAAGGAGAUCAGCCCUGGGACUUCUUUGGAAGGAAUGAUGCUAAAGCUGAAACUCCAGUACUUUGGCCACCUCAUGCGAAGAGUUGACUCACUGGAAAAGACUCUGAUGCUGGGAGGGAUUGGGGGGCAGGAGGAGAAGGGGACGACAGAGGAUGAGAUGGCUGGAUGGCAUCACUGCCUCGAUGGACGUGAAUCUGAGUGAACUCCGGGAGUUGGUGAUGGACAGGGAGGCCUGGCGUGCUGCAAUUCAUGGGGUCACAAAGAGUUGGACACGACUGAGCGACUGAACUGAACUGUAGCUAGGGGUCAUUGAGAAAUCCUGAAGGCCUACCCCUCCUGGAAAGAUACUUUAAUCCCUGACUGAGACCUGAGAGAAGAGGAUAUUCUGUUUUCUUGCCCACGUGUGCCAGGAGUGGAGCUUCAGUCAUGCUGAACUGGGGUGGGGGAGGUUGUGGGUCUUUUCUCAAGUGUCACAGACUCUUCUUAUUGAGAUUUAGAUUUUCUUGAAUAAAUGUUUUUGUGUUUGCUCUAUGCCCAUAAGACAGUUUCCAGCGAGUGUUAAAUCACUGCCUGUGUCUUAAAAGUAAUUUUCACCACUUAUGGGUACUUCAUUUGGGAGUGGAUCUUCACAGCUCUUCACAUUGCCACUGGGAAAUGGAACCUCCUUCCUCUUUAAAAUAACUCUAUUACAUUGCAUUGAACGGACCAUACUUUAUUUAACUAGUUAACAGGUUAUUUAAAAACAAUGCUCCAAUUAAUAACCGCUUGUAUAU
Bos taurus (domestic cattle) is the source of this 1063-nucleotide long non-coding RNA. Lineage: Eukaryota; Metazoa; Chordata; Mammalia; Artiodactyla; Bovidae. The record is from Ensembl.